GUCAAAAACUCGCUGUCAGAGUCACUCUAAAUUAUCACAGCAUUAAUUAUUAUUUUUCAUUAUUUAUUUAUUUUGUUUUAAUUAUUUCCCCAUCCUACCCCUAAAUUAUUCACCCGCCACACCUUUUCCGCUCCAGGCUAGGCUUAGUUGACCACCUUGGAGAUAGCUAAGGCGCGUCCUUUCAUUUAUCUGCCCUUGAUCGGGGAAAAGUAGACACACAAUCUCUUUUGUCUUGCCCGCCGGAUGUCUGAAGGACGGUCGCGGUUGACCCCACCUUGGUUUGAAUGCAAGCUAAUCCUUCUCCCCCCCCCCUUCUCUCACGUCUCUCUUUGAUCUAAGAGAUUACACGGGUCAACAUACCGCGUGAUACACCAAGGUGCGUCGCUUGUCGGACUUCACCCACGUGUAAGCUAAUUCUUGGCCUUGGACAUUUCCGGUGUCCGCCCACACUUUUCAGGCAUAUAUAUAUAGUAAACCAACUCAAAUCACCCUCUCUUUCGCAUUCGAGCUGAGCUAUCGAGUCUGGACUAUAUCAUUUAUUCUCCCUCCUAGAGGAAUACCUGGUGGUAAGCCGAACUUAAUCACAAGUUCCAUCUUAAUUACUCUGUGUAUAUUUCAAUUGGAUUUUUAUCAUGUGUAUUUUGCUUAGUUCAUUUAUAUUUAAUUAGUGCAUUGUGUAUUUCUCACUGGCGUAAGUAGAAAACAUAAACAUGUGCUAUGUAUAUAUUUUAGUAUUGCAUUAAUCUAUUAAUGCUACGUUGCUCAAUUGAUCAUUGAUGCAACCAUGUAUAUAUUUGUACACCUUAUUUUAUUUCCUUUAUCUCGGUUGAUCGCCUUGAUGAUUUUACUAUCGCACUAAUACUGCGCUUAGAAAGGAGAUAUGAAGUAUCUCCCCUGUAAUGAAUUAUCUCCCCUUUACUCAUUUUACUCUAAUGAGAGUUACCCCGCUUGAACGGACACACUCUACAUUCAAGCACGCUCCUUUGUUCUCGACCCACGGUCGUAUGUAAACAAACCAUCUGGGUCACUGACCACCGCCCAUUUCACCUCCCCCCCCCUUCUUUCUCUAUCCACCUGUGUUGUUUAUUUGAGAUUAUUAUUUCCCCUUCUAUGUACAUUCUUAUAUUAUUAUUUCCCCUUUUAUGUACAUUUCUAUAUUGCUACUAUCUGCCAUCUAUUUUUCCAAAUCCCAUUUGUCAUCAUCUCCCCUUGUGCUCUAAAGCAAUUUUACCAAUCUGACGAAUGCACCUCAGUCGAGGGCAUCGAUAAGAUGUAUGAGAGACAUGUCCUAACUUGUCUUUAUUUAUCCGCAGCCUCCCUCAGGUGUCUGCCUAUUUGUUCGAUAUCAAGAAUCACCUACUAUUUAUGUGCUCAGUGCUAUUCAGCACUGCACUAGCUCACUGACCUGCCCAUUUGUUUGUGCUUAGUGCUAUCCAGCACUGCACUUUCCUAUUGAGUAUCAUCUACCGCCUGCGGAGAUCUACUCAACUCUACCACUUGGCGCUAUCGGCAUUGCCCGCCUAUUCGACGGCCCACCUGCCAAGCUAUUAAGGCGACGUCCCUAUAGACCAGAUCUGUGUGAGACGUCAUAGCUACGCCAACCCUCUGCAACUCACUGGACAUAUCCUGUCAACUACUCUGCCCACGGCAGAUCAGCUCUGCCCGCAGUAUCCUUGUGCCCACGGUAGCCGGCCACCCGCCCUACUGUGCCCACUACAGAUAUUAGAUUUUGGGGAUUGAGACUCCACAAGAACUAUAUCACCGGCGUCCCUCUAUCCGCUAGAGCGCCACCUCCAGCUGCAGAACCUCAAGCCAGGACACAGCCAGCUGCGACACCAACAGGAAUACCAGCUAAGUCAGAGGACAAAGUGACAUACUCUUAUUAGGUGCUACAGUGAUGAUCAAAAUACCUUACUAAUUAGAGAUAGAUGCAAACCCUCCCCCUUUUAUUAUUAUAUGUAUAUUUAUGUAAAUAAAUAUCCUUUAUUUUAACUUUUGUAUCUAUCUUUCAUUGCUUUGUCUCGUUGCGUGUCUGCUCCCGAUUCAUAUGCUGAUAAGUGGGGGUGUGAUAGCUUUAAAAAUAAUCAUCCCCUAGACAUAAAACGUGCCAAACACACGUCACAUUUCCCCACCUGUCACAUUUUGGCGAGCCCGUCCGUGGAUUUAACCCAUCUUUACAGCAGGCACGAACAGGCAGCAAUAACUAAAUUCCAUAUCAAUAUUUUAUUUUUUCUAAGAAUAUUUAUAAGUAUCAUCACUUCGCAUUUUCAAGAGUGUCACUUCUGUCAUAUUUUAUAUUUUAUAUUUAUUGCAUUUUAUUUGUAAUAUUUCAUUGCAGGAAUUUGUGAUUAACAUAGGCAGACACCACAUUCCUUUAGCACUCUUUCCUAUAACCGGCGACUCACUUUCGCUAACCCACUUUCUUUAAUUCUAGCUCGACCCUAUUAUCCAUUCUAUCUGCCCCUCCACCAUCCUAGUACCUCUCAUUACCCACCCCUCAUCAUUAUGGCCAGCGGCACUCGCUCCAAGACUGAACCUGACCGCAAGCAGCGGAUAGCAGAUAUCAUGGAUGAGGCUAAAUUGUUUAGCGACGCAGAGCAGAAUGAAUACAUUAAGGGACGACUUGCUGCUCUUGAUAGAGAGGAACAGGAAAAACAUGCAAGGGAGCAUGAGCUAGCAAUGAAGGAAAAGGAUAAUGAAAUAGCUAUUGCUAGAGAAAGAAAGGAAGCUGAAAUAGCCAUUGCUAAAGAAGUCACAGAGCGAGAAAGAGAAAAAGAGCAACAAAUUACAGCGAGAGAAAAGAUAGCCGCGGACAAAGAAAACGAGGCCGCCCGCCACGCUUCUUCUGAGUCUCGCCCAGCUAGCCCAGCAUCCCUUCAAAGUGCCUUGAACGGUCUACCCCACAUGCCAAUGGAGCACUUUGACGACAAGACAGAGAACAUCGAAGUUUAUCUUGUCCGUUUUGAGGAAGUAGCACGCUUUUACGGUCUGCCAGAGGAGAAAUGGUGCUUCCGGUUAUCCCAAUGCCUCCGAGGCAAAGCCUACGAGGUUUACUCCAAACUUCCCUCCGGCCGGCGAGAGGACUACCCAGCCCUCAAGCAGGCGCUACUCGUCCAGUUCGAGUUGACCGCCGAGGCCUACCACAAAAAGUUCAGAAGUUCCCGCCUCGAACGCAGAGAGACCUACGGUAACCUCUGCGAAAGGCUGGACAAGUACCUUAUCAGGUGGCACGCUCUCAGCCAAUUGCCAGAGACUUUUGAUGGCCUAGCAUGCCUCGUACUCUCUGAGCAGCUGUUAGAAUGCAUGUCCCCAGAGGUCAGAGUUUAUGUCAAGGAGCAACAAGCAACUGCACCCGCUGACAUAGCUUCCGCCGCUGACCGGUACUUGAACGCCCGAAAGGACUUAAAAGGUAAAGCAACCGCGACAGACCAGCAAACAGACCAACCAACUUCUCCUGCUCAAUCCAACCUUGCUCCUAAAACUCCCCAGCACAACCAGGCACCAGGCCGGCAAUCAGCCCCUCAUAACUACAAUAACCGCCCCAACCAUCAGUCUCGCUAUAACCAGUCCAACUACUCUCAGCGUGACUUACGUCAUAGCACGCGUGACAGUAGACCCACUCCACAACGGCAGCAGCAGGCUCCACGGACCCUAUCUACGGUGACGCCAGUCUCUCAACCCUCCGCGAUCGAUCCUUCUGACCAACCGGAGGAGGACACAUACUUCGUCUCCACGAUGGCCGUGGUUCCUCAACCCACUGCCAUUGAUCUCGGCCAACCAGAACUCCCCCCAGUGCUCUCUCACCCCAUCUCUUCUCCUCCGGGAGUAGAGAACAUUCUGGCCAACGGUGUCGAAGUUUUGGGCCUAUACGACUCAGGCUGUUCGUUCGGCGCGGUUAUCAAUAAGACGCUGAUUGACCCAUCGGAUCUCACUGGUGGAACAGUGACAAUCCAGUCUAUUGACCGUGGCACUCCUCCGCAGGUUCUACCUGUCGCGAGGGUGCACGUGGAGUGCAGAUACGUACAUGGCACCAUUGACGCCGCCGUCAUGGACACGCCAGUGUACGACUUCAUUCUAGGCUCCAAAUAUGUCCCUCUUGGAGAAGUCAACAAGCCAUACUUCUCUCUGCCCGUCGGUAGAUCGACGAAGCAGAAACGUGGCAGCAACCAGCAGGUUGGAAGCCCUGGUCGCCACACUCACCCGCCCGGUCCCGACUCAUCAGCCAAGCUCAAACCACACUGCCCUGGCAUUGACACUGCUAGGAAGUCACGAGUUAAGUCGGAUACCCGCGCUUGUGAAGGUCUACUUGACCCAGGCUACUCAGCCAAAAUUAAGCAACAUUCCUCUGACAUUGACAGUGUCAGAAUGCCACGAGGUAAGAUGAACCCUUGCUCUCGUGGACUCGCUCCUCUUCAUGGCUCCUCAGCCAUCAUUCAAAAUCAACCUUCCCCUGGCAUUGAUAGUGUCAGGAAGUCACGAGGUAAGCUGCACCCUCGCGCUCGUGAAAACAUUUCUCUUAGUGGCUCCUCAGCCACCAUUCAAUAUCAACCUUCCCUUGGCAUUAACCGUGUUAGGAAGCCACGAUGUAAGCCAGAGUAUCGCACUCGUGGGGACGUUCUCAGGCAGAACUCCACAUUCUUUAUCAGGCCACUCUUCCCUGACAUUGAUCGUGUCAGACGAAACCGAGGUAAGCUGACCACUCACUCUCGUGAAGAAGCGCCUCACAGCGGCUUCGGAGGUAAGCCCCAACGAGCACACGUGCCUUGGGCACCCCGCCUAAGCCCCAAUCACGCUCCCCAAUCCGCCCCAGGAAGGAAUUACUACUCAUCCAAUCGCCCAAUCUACUCUCCCAAGCAACCCCAAAGGUUUCACCCAGGUGACUCCGUACUCAGGGACGGGAAGUAGACCACGGACAAUCUUGGACAGACCCUCCUCCUGGCAUGGCUACCCCUAUUUUUCAGUUUUUUUUUCUAAUGCUGUGAUAACAACUGAUCUUAAAGUUAGAGUGACAUCAGUCUGCUCGCACUUUAUGGAUCUUUCUGCGAUAGAUCCAUCUUGGCGGCGGCGUAUGUGACAAGUCAAAAACUCGCUGUCAGAGUCACUCUAAAUUAUCACAGCAUUAAUUAUUAUUUUUCAUUAUUUAUUUAUUUUGUUUUAAUUAUUUCCCCAUCCUACCCCUAAAUUAUUCACCCGCCACACCUUUUCCGCUCCAGGCUAGGCUUAGUUGACCACCUUGGAGAUAGCUAAGGCGCGUCCUUUCAUUUAUCUGCCCUUGAUCGGGGAAAAGUAGACACACAAUCUCUUUUGUCUUGCCCGCCGGAUGUCUGAAGGACGGUCGCGGUUGACCCCACCUUGGUUUGAAUGCAAGCUAAUCCUUCUCCCCCCCCCCUUCUCUCACGUCUCUCUUUGAUCUAAGAGAUUACACGGGUCAACAUACCGCGUGAUACACCAAGGUGCGUCGCUUGUCGGACUUCACCCACGUGUAAGCUAAUUCUUGGCCUUGGACAUUUCCGGUGUCCGCCCACACUUUUCAGGCAUAUAUAUAUAGUAAACCAACUCAAAUCACCCUCUCUUUCGCAUUCGAGCUGAGCUAUCGAGUCUGGACUAUAUCAUUUAUUCUCCCUCCUAGAGGAAUACCUGGUGCCUCCCUCAGGUGUCUGCCUAUUUGUUCGAUAUCAAGAAUCACCUACUAUUUAUGUGCUCAGUGCUAUUCAGCACUGCACUAGCUCACUGACCUGCCCAUUUGUUUGUGCUUAGUGCUAUCCAGCACUGCACUUUCCUAUUGAGUAUCAUCUACCGCCUGCGGAGAUCUACUCAACUCUACCACUUGGCGCUAUCGGCAUUGCCCGCCUAUUCGACGGCCCACCUGCCAAGCUAUUAAGGCGACGUCCCUAUAGACCAGAUCUGUGUGAGACGUCAUAGCUACGCCAACCCUCUGCAACUCACUGGACAUAUCCUGUCAACUACUCUGCCCACGGCAGAUCAGCUCUGCCCGCAGUAUCCUUGUGCCCACGGUAGCCGGCCACCCGCCCUACUGUGCCCACUACAGAUAUUAGAUUUUGGGGAUUGAGACUCCACAAGAACUAUAUCACCGGCGUCCCUCUAUCCGCUAGAGCGCCACCUCCAGCUGCAGAACCUCAAGCCAGGACACAGCCAGCUGCGACACCAACAGGAAUACCAGCUAAGUCAGAGGACAAAGUGACAUACUCUUAUUAGGUGCUACAGUGAUGAUCAAAAUACCUUACUAAUUAGAGAUAGAUGCAAACCCUCCCCCUUUUAUUAUUAUAUGUAUAUUUAUGUAAAUAAAUAUCCUUUAUUUUAA
Biomphalaria glabrata is the source of this 6322-nucleotide RNA transcript. RefSeq lists it as uncharacterized. Lineage: Eukaryota; Metazoa; Mollusca; Gastropoda; Planorbidae. The transcript has 2 exons. The record is from RefSeq and is a predicted model, not a curated record.